Molecule: ribosomal RNA, 464 nt
Filed under: Palmadusta ziczac misella
Lineage: Eukaryota; Metazoa; Mollusca; Gastropoda; Littorinimorpha; Cypraeidae
Description: partial 16S large subunit ribosomal RNA
Rfam family: Bacterial large subunit ribosomal RNA
Source: RNAcentral
GAGUCAGACCUGCCCAGUGAACAUAUUUUAACGGCCGCGGUACUCUGACCGUGCAAAGGUAGCAUAAUCAUUUGCCCUAUAAUUGAGGGCUAGUAUGAAUGGUUUGACGUGAACAAAACUGUCUCUAUGUAAUUUUGUAGAACUUGAUUUUUAGGUGAAGAAACCUAAAUGUUAUUGAAAGACAAGAAGACCCUAUUGAGCUUUAAAAGAGUAAAUUGAAAAUAAUAUAUAAUUUUAAAUAUUAGUCUAUUAAACAUUUUGGUUGGGGCGACUAUGGAACAAAUAAAGCUUCUUUAUUAUAAAUAAAACUCACAAGUAUUGAUCCAGAAGUUUUGAUCAAUGGAAUUAGUUACCAUAGGGAUAACAGCAUAAUUCUCUUUGAGAGCCCUCAUCGAAAAGAGAGUUUGUGACCUCGAUGUUGGACUAGAAUAUCCUAAAGAUGUAGCAGUCUUUAAGGGUUGGUC